AAGUAGAGUUGGGAUGUAGCCUGAUUUUAUAGAUUCCAAGGUAGUCCUCUGUCAAUCCUAAAAAUAGAUUAGAAAGCCUUUCCUAUUUAUCAUGUUGCAUUUUAUUGACUUAAUUGGUCCUUAGAUAUGAAAGCAUCUUUGAAGGAGUUUUAGAUCUAGACAUUUCUCUCAGAUUUAAGUAAAAAAAUAAAAUUUGAGGGGAAAUAAUGUUAUUAAACUAUUCUAAUGCUUCACUUUUGAUGAUGUAGUACGUUCCUUUAAAUCUUGGCAGAACUUUCCAAAGCUACUGUUUUCAAUAGAUUCCAGUCCCAUAUUCCCAUGGGCACUUGCUUUCUCAAGUAGACUACUGUAAUAAAAAUGAACUCAAUAUGUAGGAGCUUAUAGUUUUCUCCAGUAUAUUGGUGGUUGCUCACAAAUGGUUCAUUUUAACACAUUUUAGGGAUAAGUAAUCAAAAACAUGAACUUCCCUUUUGUCUUCCCACCAAUGUCUGAACUAUUGUAAAAUAGUAUGUUUCUUUAGCUAUGUUUUGAUUGUAUAGUAUUUCUAAAUAUUUCUCUGUGUUCUGGAUGGUCUCAUAACUGUGGCCAUAAUAGAUAUUAGAAGAUCACUUAGACAAUAUCUAGAAUUAAUGUGAUUCUUGCAAUCAAGACAGACUUGCAAAUGUCUUUUUCUAAGCAGUAGUUAGAAAGAGCUCAAUUAUAGUAUUGACACCUUAAAGCUAAAACAUUUGUUCAACACAAACUUCCAUCACAACUCUGACUAGAUAUCAUCAAGAGAAUGUGGAUUUACAAACAUAAAAGCAAGAAUUUACCAUCUCUCACAAGCAGAUUGCCCCAUGUGAUUGACAAGAAGGCUCAUUGGGUUGUGGUUUGAACAUUGAGGGUGUGAAGAAAAUGAAGCAGUGGCUAAAGAAAUCUUCUCCUCUCACUAAAUAUAACACUAGAGGCUUUCCUUUCUCUUUCCAGAUGAUUAUUCUAUUUCAAAAGUUCCCUUAAAAUUCAGACUUCAACACAUCAAUUGAAUUUCUUCUACUCUAGUUAUGGGUGUUACAGUUUUUUGUGUCAUGACUCAGUGUGUAUGGUUCAAGUUCCUAGUCAGGAGCAGAGAUCUGGAUGUGUGUAGUCCCUAAGCCUGCACACCUUCCUCCUCUUUCAGCAUGGCUUGUGGAGACAUCCCACCAACAUAGACAGGUUGGUCACUGAUGAUCAUUUUAAUAAACACUGUGGGCCAUUUUGCUUUGCUUGUUGGUGAAAAGAAAUGUAUCUAAUUAUUUGAACCUCUGAAGGAUUGUGGACAAGGAGGACCAGACUUUAGAAACUAUCCAUGUGGAUUUUGAGAGCUGCUGCCCAGCAGAAGUCUUAUAAAUAUGCCUUGAAGCAGUCAUUUUGUGAUUAGGAGCUGGGAAGCCCAGGUAUAGUUAGUUUUAGGCUUGUAGGAUUACUUCCUAGUUUCUCUAAACACACAUGGUCGUAAAGGAUGCAUUGAAACACUGCAGGUUGCAGUUGACAGUACCUGCUCUGUCUGCAAAAGCCUCACUUUGCUGGCAACUAUUGGAGAAUGCUUAGUUUGUAUGUCUUGGGAGUUUUCCUUCUUGCUCCUAGCUAAUUUCAUGGCUAUGGUAAGUUAGAAAUACUAUGUUUAUGGCUCAGGACCAGAGGACAACAGGCUUUAAGAGGGCUUAAAUUGGGAUUCGAGGACUGCAGUAAGGAACCCCUCAGAUACCAGGUUCAUAGCAGUCCGGGAUGAUAAGACUAGAUCCUAAAGUUCUUUCAGGGAGCUCUGCCAUGAGACUGAACACAGUGUAUCCAUCAUAGGCCACUUUGACCAACUAAGUUGUAGUUUUUGUUUCAAGUCAACUUAUAUGAGAACUUCCACUACACCGAUCUUGGGAAGUGGGGAUACCCUCUUCUUUAGAACUAGAGCUGCCAUUCUUUUCAUCUUCAGCACAAGUAAGGUAUUAAGUGAGCCAGAGACAAAAAGAGCCAUUUUAGUCUUCAUAAUUAUCUGCUAAGAGAGAUAAUGAGCUGACUGUCUAUUUUAAACUCGAAGGUAAAAAAUGUAUAUUAUAUUUUUUCACUACAGGUACAUGUAACAGUAAAAAGUGUAACAGCAAAGUAUAUAUUUGAUGCUUUCUGUCUUUUCAUGAUAUUGUGCUAACAAGUUGUGCUAGUAUUGAACUCAACCUGAGUUUCACUCAUUUGCUAAGCAUUGGGAACAUUCUGUGUAUUUACCUUAAACAUAAAUAAAUUCCUGAGAGUGUCCUAUAUUUGGAUUGUGAUUUGUAGACUCAUGCUAACUUUAUUGCCUCUUUUUCACACUUGUUGAAAAAUCUGUGAAGAACAUAGUAAGUUAAGGAUUUCCAACUUGGAAAAAUGUACACGAUGUGAAACUGGGGUGCUAUGUUAAAAAUAAACGUAUGAUAACUC
RNAcentral lists this long non-coding RNA (2427 nucleotides) under Rattus norvegicus (Norway rat). RNAcentral describes it as "long non-coding RNA NONRATT030514". The record is from RNAcentral. Lineage: Eukaryota; Metazoa; Chordata; Mammalia; Rodentia; Muridae.